RNAcentral lists this ribosomal RNA (403 nucleotides) under uncultured bacterium. Its description in RNAcentral is "partial 16S ribosomal RNA". It matches the Rfam family "Bacterial small subunit ribosomal RNA", at positions 28 to 526 of the family's 1533-position model. The record is from RNAcentral.
GACGAACGCUGGCGGCGUGCCUAAUACAUGCAAGUCGAACGCAGUGGGUACGGGUGAGUAACACGUGGGUAACCUCCCAUCAGAGGGGAUAACACUUGGAAACAGGUGCUAAACCGAUACUGAUGGAUGAACCCGCGGUGCAGUAGCUAGUGGGUGAGGUAACGGCUCACCAAGGCCACGAUGCAUAGCGGACCGGAGAGGGUGAACGGCAACACUGGGAAGGAGAAACGGCCCAGACUCAUACGGGAGGAAGGAGUAGGGAAUCUUGGGCAAUGGACGAAAGUCGGACCGAGCAACGCCGCGUGAGUGAAGAAGGUUUUCGGAUCGUAAAACUCUGUGGUUAGAGAAGCGGUAUCUAACCAGAAAGCCACGGCUAACUACGUGCCAGCAGCCGCGGUAAUAC